AUUGAACGCUGGCGGCAGGCUUAACACAUGCAAGUCGAGCGAGCGGCGGACGGGUGAGUAAUGUAUGGGGAUCUGCCUGAUGGAGGGGGAUAACUACUGGAAACGGUAGCUAAUACCGCAUAACAUCAGAUGUACCCAGAUGGGAUUAGCUUGUAGGUGAGGUAAGGGCUCACCUAGGCGACGAUCCCUAGCUGGUCUGAGAGGAUGACCAGCCACGCGGUGACUAGGACACGGUCCAGACUCCUACGGGAGGCAGCAGUGGGGAAUAUUGCACAAUGGGCGCAAUCCUGAUACAGCCAUGCCGCGUGUAUGAAGAAGGCCUUCGGGUUGUAAAGUACUUUCAGCGGGGAGGCGUUACCGACAGAAGAAGCACCGGCUAACUCCGUGCCAGCAGCCGCGGUAAUAC
This 406-nucleotide ribosomal RNA is filed under the name uncultured bacterium. Its description in RNAcentral is "partial 16S ribosomal RNA". It matches the Rfam family "Bacterial small subunit ribosomal RNA", at positions 30 to 526 of the family's 1533-position model. The record is from RNAcentral.